Molecule: transfer RNA, 88 nt
Filed under: Crateriforma conspicua
Lineage: Bacteria; Pseudomonadati; Planctomycetota; Planctomycetia; Pirellulales; Pirellulaceae
Description: tRNA-Ser
Rfam family: tRNA
About the family: Transfer RNA (tRNA) molecules are approximately 80 nucleotides in length. Their secondary structure includes four short double-helical elements and three loops (D, anti-codon, and T loops).
Source: RNAcentral
GGAUGGGUGGCCGAGUGGUCGAAGGCAACGGUCUUGAAAACCGUCGUAGGGGAGACUCUACCGUGGGUUCGAAUCCCACCCCAUCCGC